CAGUAGCCGCGGGAAUACGUAGGGUGCAAGCGUUAAUCGGAAUUACUGGGCGUAAAGCGUGCGCAGGCGGUUAUAUAAGACAGAUGUGAAAUCCCCGGGCUCAACCUGGGAACUGCAUUUGUGACUGUAUAGCUAGAGUACGGCAGAGGGGGAUGGAAUUCCGCGUGUAGCAGUGAAAUGCGUAGAUAUGCGGAGGAACACCGAUGGCGAAGGCAAUCCCCUGGGCCUGUACUGACGCUUAUGCACGAAAGCGUGGGGAGCAAACAGGAUUAGAUACCCCAGUAGUCCCUGUCUCUUAUAC
RNAcentral lists this ribosomal RNA (301 nucleotides) under uncultured bacterium. RNAcentral describes it as "partial 16S ribosomal RNA". It matches the Rfam family "Bacterial small subunit ribosomal RNA", at positions 509 to 807 of the family's 1533-position model. The record is from RNAcentral.